GGAUUGUUAAGCAAGACGUGAAAUCCCCGGGGCUUAACCUGGGAAUGGCGUUUUGAACUGGCAGUCUAGAGUGCGUCAGAGGGGGGUGGAAUUCCACGUGUAGCAGUGAAAUGCGUAGAUAUGUGGAGGAACACCAAUGGCGAAGGCAGCCCCCUGGGAUGACACUGACGCUCAUGUACGAAAGCGUGGGUAGCAAACAGGAUUAGAUACCCUGGUAGUCCACGCCCUAAACGAUGUCAACUGGUUGUUGGGGGAGUGAAAUCCCUUAGUAACGAAGCUAACGCGUGAAGUUGACCGCCUGGGGAGUACGGUCGCAAGAUUAAAACUCAAAGGAAUUGACGGGGACCCGCACAAGCGGUGGAUGAUGUGGAUUAAUUCGAUGCAACGCGAAAAACCUUACCUACCCUUGACAUGUCCAGAAUCCUGCAGAGAUGCGGGAGUGCCCGAAAGGGAAUUGGAACACAGGUGCUGCAUGGCUGUCGUCAGCUCGUGUCGUGAGAUGUUGGGUUAAGUCCCGCAACGAGCGCAACCCUUAUCAUUAGUUGCUACGCAAGGGCACUCUAAUGAGACUGCCGGUGACAAACCGGAGGAAGGUGGGGAUGACGUCAAGUCCUCAUGGCCCUUAUGGGUAGGGCUUCACACGUCAUACAAUGGUCGGUACAGAGGGUUGCCAAGCCGCGAGGUGGAGCCAAUCCCAGAAAGCCGAUCGUAGUCCGGAUUGUUCUCUGCAACUCGAGAGCAUGAAGUCGGAAUCGCUAGUAAUCGCGGAUCAGCAUGUCGCGGUGAAUACGUUCCCGGGUCUUGUACACACCGCCCGUCACACCAUGGGAGUGGAAUCUGCCAGAAGUAGGUAGCCUAACCGCAAGGAGGGCGCUUACCACGGUGGGUUUCAUGACUGGGGUGAAGUCGUAACAAGGGUAAC
This 922-nucleotide ribosomal RNA is filed under the name uncultured bacterium. RNAcentral describes it as "bacterial SSU rRNA". It matches the Rfam family "Bacterial small subunit ribosomal RNA", at positions 577 to 1501 of the family's 1533-position model. The record is from RNAcentral.